Molecule: long non-coding RNA, 2280 nt
Filed under: Marmota monax (woodchuck)
Lineage: Eukaryota; Metazoa; Chordata; Mammalia; Rodentia; Sciuridae
Source: RNAcentral
GUAAGAACUAGGGUUACAAUUUGCGUUAGUUUUAGGGUUAAGGUUUAGGGCUAUUGAGCGAAUCCCUGCCAGGAGAUGCAGAUCCACAUCCGCCAGCCACAAUCCGCACCCCACAGCGCGGCUGCAGGCCCAUCCGCCAGCAGCAAACAUGACUGGGUCCCACUAGCCUCUGAGAUGCAGCUUGGCAGGAAGAAGUCUUUAGCCAAGCCUUCAUGAAAUAGCGAGCUGGGAGCUGAAGCCAACCGGGGAUGGACCAGUCCCACCCCUCCCUUCAGACACUCCAGCAAGGAGCCUGGGGCCCGCCAUAGCAGAGAGGUGAUGUCAUCGGAGUUCUGCUGAUGGAAUUCCUUCCCAGCAGAAUCCACUUUAACAGGUGUGUGACUCCCUCCCCAUCCACAUACAAGCAGCCAGGAAACUUCAUGGACUUCUCAUGGGUCAUGUCAGUAGGGAAGCAGAGGGGAUCCCCGACCCCCAACCCCCCAUAUCACCAGUGGUGACUCCCAAGGUCUUAGCUGCCAGUUUACCACAGCACUGGGGCUUAAAUGGGACAUGCGGUGGGGCUGCAAGUGUAACUAGAUCUCUGGGAAACCGCUUCUGGUGAACAGGACGUGGCUGGCUGGCUGACAGGAGGAAGGGGGGUAAGGGCCUGAGUAGUGAAAUGGCUCUGGACUGACAAGUCUGAGAGACUCCCAGGAGACACCUUACAGGGAUUGCUAUGGGCAGGUAGAGAGCACAAGCUCUGUUCGGACGGCACAGCUCCGCCUACUGAAAGAGAAGAAAAUGGAUCUCGAAGACUUCAAUUUUUUUUCUUCUUCUCUCUCUGUUACUUUCUCCCCCUUUCCUUCUCUCUUUCUUUCCCAUUUCAAGUUUAAUUGUUCAUUUCAUUCUCCUCUAAUCUCUCUCUCCUUCUUUCUUUUUAAGAGCACCUUCAUUCCCCUACCCCCCAACUUUCAUCCCAAGCAUCAUGUCUUCCAUUAUGUAUAAUUGUCUAAAUGCAAAUAGGUGAAUGUCUCGAGGCUGUCAAUAGGGCUCCUAAAUACCUAGCUACUGCCAACACCCUAAUCCAAUUGCCUGUUAGAAUCCACCUUCAGUAGAGCAAUCUUCUAAAGUAGCCAAGACAUACUAAUCCUCGUACCAUCAUAGCACCUAACCUAAACAUAUAAUCUUAAGAACAAACAACAAAUCACUAUAUACAUACAGAACCUGGAAACCUUUUAUGAAUUGAAUGAAUCAGCUCUAAAGUACAAUAAAGCCCAACAUUUCUAGACAUCAUCUCCCACCACAAAGGAGAGACAACAGAGAUAUACAAAGCCAAAACAAAUGUAUAGGUGAAAGCAGUUACAAAGCAGUCAAACAGAGCUGGAAAGUAACGUGAACAACAUGAAAAAACAAGGGAAAAAAGGACUAAAACAAUGCAGGACAACUUAAAUCUACAGGAGGACCGAGAAGCAUCAGAAACAUGGUCAGGGAAAGAAAUCAAGGCAUACCUAACUCAGAUGGAACGGAAUUUUAGAGAAGACAUGAGACAGCAAGUCCAAGCAUUGAAAGUAUAUUUUGAAAAUGAACUAAACAAACAAAUUCAAACUGCAAAGAACGAGCUUUACCAAGAGAUAGAGAUUUAAAAAAAAAAAAAAAACAGUAAUCAUAGAAAUGCAAGAAACCGUAAACCAGAUUAAAAACUCUAACGAGAAUAUUACAAAUAGACUAGAUCAAGUAGAAGUCAGAACAUCAGAUAAUGAAGACAAAGUUUAUCAACUUGAAAAGAAUAUAGUCAACACAGAAAAGAUGCUUAAAUCUCAUGAGCAAUCUAUCCAAGAGAUAUGGGAUCUCAUAAAAAAACCAAAUUUGAGAGUCAUUGGGAUAGAAGAAGGCACAGAGGAUCAAACCAAAGGAAUGGACAACUUAUUAAAUGAAAUAAUCCUAGAAAACUUCCCAGAGAUGAAAGAUGGAAUGGAUUGCCAAAUCCUGGAAGCCUACAGGACCCCAAACAUCCAAAACCAUAAUAGACCAACUCCAAGACAUAUAAUUAUGAAGAUAGCUAACAUACAGAACAAGGAGAGAAUAUUAAAAGCUACGAGAGAAAGGAGGCAGAUUACAUUCAGGGGUAAACCAAUUAGGUUAACGACUGAUUUUUCAUCACAGACUUUGAAAGCGAGAAGAUCCUGGAACAACGUAUUUCAAACGCUGAAAAAUAAUGGAUUCCAACCAAGAAUACUGUAUCCAGCAAAAUUAAGCUUCAGAUUUGACAAUGAAAUUAAAAUCUUUCACGAUAAACAAAAG